AUGAACGCUGGCGGCGUGCCUAAUACAUGCCAGUCGAGCGAACAGACGAGGAGCUUGCUCCUCUGACGUUAGCGGCGGACGGGUGAGUAACACGUGGAUAACCUACCUAUAAGACUGGGAUAACUUCGGGAAACCGGAGCUAAUACCGGAUAAUAUAUUGAACCGCAUGGUUCAAUAGUGAAAGACGGUUUUGCUGUCACUUAUAGAUGGAUCCGCGCCGCAUUAGCUAGUUGGUAAGGUAACGGCUUACCAAGGCAACGAUGCGUAGCCGACCUGAGAGGGUGAUCGGCCACACUGGAACUGAGACACGGUCCAGACUCCUACGGGAGGCAGCAGUAGGGAAUCUUCCGCAAUGGGCGAAAGCUUGACGGAGCAACGCCGCGUGAGUGAUGAAGGUCUUCGGAUCGUAAAACUCUGUUAUUAGGGAAGAACAAAUGUGUAAGUAACUAUGCACGUCUUGACGGUACCUAAUCAGAAAGCCGCGGCUAACUACGUG
RNAcentral lists this ribosomal RNA (496 nucleotides) under uncultured bacterium. Its description in RNAcentral is "partial 16S ribosomal RNA". It matches the Rfam family "Bacterial small subunit ribosomal RNA", at positions 29 to 507 of the family's 1533-position model. The record is from RNAcentral.